Molecule: long non-coding RNA, 232 nt
Filed under: Lathyrus oleraceus (garden pea)
Lineage: Eukaryota; Viridiplantae; Streptophyta; Magnoliopsida; Fabales; Fabaceae
Description: Pisum sativum (pea) long non-coding RNA (PSAT_LNC013007)
Source: RNAcentral
ACGUGAAACACUUUUUGUUCUUACUGUUGUAAUAUUUGCUUAUCUUAGAAGCACUCUAGAUUACAUAAGUUUUUAUCUUUGUUGUAUUUCCUCAAGUGACUCUGUGUAGUCUGUAUACUUGAGAGGACUAAGAGAUCUUUCUCUUAGACGUUGUUUGUAAUCAAUCUUUCAAGAUUAGUGGAUUAAGUCCUUGUUGAAGGCGAAAUCACCUUGGCCGGGUGGACUGGAGUAG